UUCCUGCUUCCUUAUCCCGUAUAAGCCCUAGACCACCAGAGAUCAGGGCCUGAUAUUCUGAGAAUGCUCCCCAUCCUUGCCCAUAGAUGUUUGUGUAUGAGUAUGACCUUGUUGAAGACCUGAAGUCCUUGUUGGCCUGAACUGGUUGGGAGAUUUGCAACUGCAAAUAGCACUUGUGGUCUGUCUGGAUUUCACAGUGUUAUAUCUGAUGUAGAACCGUUUCAUGCUUUGACGCUGAGUGCUGUCAAAAUGUGAAGCUUCACACAGCAAUCAAUAUCCACUUUAGGAGAUUCUUUAUGAAGUACUGGAGCAGUAUUUAUGUCUUCCUCUACAACAAAUCACAUGGAUGGAGCUUCUUCUAACAAUGUUGGGAUGUGGAAAUUAAAGCCCAGGGAUUUUAUUGACCACCAAAGGUCAGACACUACAUAGAAGAUCCAGAACAUUCCUAAGGCAACAGAUUAUAGCUUUGAUGAAGGCCUAGACUAGGUGGUAUUUCCUCAAAGUGUGCUUCCUCAGCCCCCUGCAUCAAAAUUCCAUAUAAUAAUCACUAAAUGUAAUACUAAUUAUUAAAAUAUGUAUUCUAGUCUCUGAGCUCCUUGCUCAGAAUUUCUGGGAUAAGGUCCAGAAAUCUGCAGAUUAAUAAAAUCCCAUUAGGCGACCUGCAUGCAUGCACACACUGAACUUUGAAUCUUCUUGCUAGAACAGUGAAUCGGGGAGCGAAGAUGGCCCCCCGAAGGCGCAGAGGAAUAGAAUCCCAGCUCACAGACCACGCCACACUCCCUUCUCUUUGGAGAUCUUCUUCCUGAGUACCAGGCUGGCCUCAGUGGUCUCCUCCCACCCACCUUCCUCUGGACACACACUUGUUCAUCUGUAAAGGACUCCGCUAACUCAGUGGAAGAAAAGCAAAGCAAAGAAUUAAAUGAAUUGAACGAGCAAGCAUUUAUGCUUACGGGACCCACAAGCUGAGCCAGUAAAGAAAGAGACAGAAAUGUGUGCAUCCGUCCUUAAAUCACAUGCUUACUGGACCAUUUCGGUAGUGAAACCAUUGCGGCAGUUCUUCAAGAGUCUUCCUGUAAACUCUCCAUGAGUUUGCAAUAAGAUCGAGAAGGAAAGACUUGCACAGUGUGAAACAGAUUAAGCAAUAAUGGAAAGGCCUACGUAAUUAGGUUAAAAAACAGAAUCGAGUAAUGCACACUUGAAGUACUGGGAGAAUGCAAAAAUAGGACAGAUGGGGGUUGUAGUAUCAGAACUGAGUUUUCUGGAAGAUGAAGAAUUUAAGUUUGUUCCACAAACCCAGCUUAUAACCAGCAUUUAUUAAAACAUUUCUUAUGAGUGCUGUACAAGACUGUGGAGGCGGAAAAGACUAGAGUGAAUAGGAUCUGGACUCUAACUGUCAAGAACUUUGUGCACCAGAAUGAGAGACGCACAUUUACCUAAUAAUGCAAGGUUCUAAAGGUUAAGAGUGGGCAGUUAAAGUAUAAGGGAAGUCCUUGGAAAGCCAAAGUAAGAAAAAUAAAAGAUAAAGAGGACAAGGAGCAGGAAUUAUCAGAGCAGGAUUUCAUGGAAAGGGUGUAAAGCAGAUUAUGGAGCGAAAUACUGAAAAGCACCGACAAAUUCUUGGACUUGAGAAAAAUGCUGACUAAUGAAACCUUAGCGUCUUUGGGAUUUAGCAGUUAAUCACUGACUACGGAGGAGAAGAGGCAAGGCAGAGAAAUGAAGGAAGUGGGAGACAAACAACAAAAGUAAUCAAUAGAGAAAUAGUGAAAAAAACAACAACAACAAAAAAGAGAAAUAGUUGGAGGCAGUUUGGAUGAAGAAAUACACCCUAAGUUGUUUUGUAAGAAACAUGGAAGUGGGCGAGGUCAGAAAUUUGGUUAGAAUUUGACCAAAGAGGUCAGAAUUUGAGGGAAGGUAUCUGAAACUUCUCUCUUUUUUGCCUGUUUGAGACAG
Molecule: long non-coding RNA, 1950 nt
Organism: Chinchilla lanigera (long-tailed chinchilla)
Lineage: Eukaryota; Metazoa; Chordata; Mammalia; Rodentia; Chinchillidae
Exons: 5
Source: RefSeq, a predicted model, not a curated record